Molecule: ribosomal RNA, 250 nt
Filed under: uncultured bacterium
Lineage: Bacteria
Description: partial 16S ribosomal RNA
Rfam family: Bacterial small subunit ribosomal RNA
Source: RNAcentral
GCAAGUCGAACGGUAACAGGCGGAGCUUGCUCUGCGCUGACGAGUGGCGGACGGGUGAGUAAUGCUUAGGAAUCUGCCCAGUAGCGGGGGACAACAAUCGGAAACGGUUGCUAAUACCGCAUACGCCCUACGGGGGAAAGCAGGGGAUCUUCGGACCUUGCACUAUUGGAUGAGCCUAAGUCAGAUUAGCUUGUUGGUGGGGUAAUGGCCUACCAAGGCAAUGACGGGUAGCGGGUUUGAGAGGAUGAUC